This 497-nucleotide ribosomal RNA is filed under the name uncultured bacterium. Its description in RNAcentral is "partial 16S ribosomal RNA". It matches the Rfam family "Bacterial small subunit ribosomal RNA", at positions 28 to 507 of the family's 1533-position model. The record is from RNAcentral.
GAUGAACGCUGACGGCGUGCCUAAUACAUGCAAGUCGAGCGAACGGACGAGAAGCUUGCUUCUCUGAUGUUAGCGGCGGACGGGUGAGUAACACGUGGAUAACCUACCUAUAAGACUGGGAUAACUUCGGGAAACCGGAGCUAAUACCGGAUAAUAUUUUGAACCGCAUGGUUCAAAAGUGAAAGACGGUCUUGCUGUCACUUAUGGAUGGAUCCGCGCUGCAUUAGCUAGUUGGUAAGGUAACGGCUUACCAAGGCAACGAUGCAUAGCCGACCUGAGAGGGUGAUCGGCCACACUGGAACUGAGACACGGUCCAGACUCCUACGGGAGGCAGCAGUAGGGAAUCUUCCGCAAUGGGCGAAAGCCUGACGGAGCAACGCCGCGUGAGUGAUGAAGGUCUUCGGAUCGUAAAACUCUGUUAUUAGGGAAGAACAUAUGUGUAAGUAACUGUGCACAUCUUGACGGUACCUAAUCAGAAAGCCACGGCUAACUACGUG